GGUUAAGUGACUAAGCGUACACGGUGGAUGCCUAGGCAGUUGGAGGCGAUGAAGGACGUACUAACUUGCGAUAAGCCAAGUCAAGCCAGUAAGAGGCGCUUGAGACUUGGAUUUCCGAAUGGGGAAACCCACCUAUUUAUAGGUAUCUUAUAGUGAAUACAUAGCUAUAAGAGGCGAACCGGGAGAACUGAAACAUCUAAGUACCCCGAGGAAAAGAAAUCAACCGAGAUUCCGUUAGUAGUGGCGAGCGAACGCGGACCAGCCCUUAAGCUGUGUUGUAGUUAGUGGAAUUUGUUGGAAAGCAAAACGAUACAAGGUGAUAGUCCUGUACACAAAAACUUAUAUGCAGUGAAAUCGAGUAGGACGGGGCACGUGAAACCUUGUCUGAAUAUGGGGGGACCAUCCUCCAAGGCUAAAUACUCCCAACUGACCGAUAGUGAACCAGUACCGUGAGGGAAAGGCGAAAAGAACCCCUGUAAGGGGAGUGAAAUAGAACCUGAAACCGUGUACGUACAAGCAGUAGGAGCCC
Molecule: non-coding RNA, 529 nt
Filed under: Pseudoalteromonas luteoviolacea B = ATCC 29581
Lineage: Bacteria; Pseudomonadati; Pseudomonadota; Gammaproteobacteria; Alteromonadales; Pseudoalteromonadaceae
Description: LSU rRNA
Rfam family: Bacterial large subunit ribosomal RNA
Source: RNAcentral